CAGUAGCCGCGGGAAUACGGAGGAUCCAAGCGUUAUCCGGAAUCAUUGGGUUUAAAGGGUCCGUAGGCGGUCUUGUAAGUCAGUGGUGAAAGCCCAUCGCUCAACGGUGGAACGGCCAUUGAUACUGCAGGACUUGAAUUAUUGGGAAGUAACUAGAAUAUGUAGUGUAGCGGUGAAAUGCUUAGAGAUUACAUGGAAUACCAAUUGCGAAGGCAGGUUACUACCAAUUGAUUGACGCUGAUUGACGAAAGCGUGGGUAGCGAACAGGAUUAGAUACCCCCGUAGUCCCUGUCUCUUAUAC
RNAcentral lists this ribosomal RNA (301 nucleotides) under uncultured bacterium. Its description in RNAcentral is "partial 16S ribosomal RNA". It matches the Rfam family "Bacterial small subunit ribosomal RNA", at positions 509 to 807 of the family's 1533-position model. The record is from RNAcentral.